Molecule: transfer RNA, 70 nt
Filed under: human gut metagenome
Rfam family: tRNA
About the family: Transfer RNA (tRNA) molecules are approximately 80 nucleotides in length.
Source: RNAcentral
GGCAUUAGCUCAGUUGGUAGAGCGUCUGCUUUGCACGCAGAAAGUCGGGGGUUCGAGUCCCUUAUGCUCC